Molecule: ribosomal RNA, 468 nt
Filed under: uncultured bacterium
Lineage: Bacteria
Description: partial 16S ribosomal RNA
Rfam family: Bacterial small subunit ribosomal RNA
Source: RNAcentral
GAUGAACGCUGGCGGCGUGCCUAACACAUGCAAGUCGAGCGAUCUUCUUCGGAAGCGCGCGGCGGACGGGUGAGUAACGCGUGGGUAACCUGCCCUGUACACACGGAUAACAUACCGAAAGGUAUGCUAAUACGAGAUAAUAUACUUUUAUCGCAUGGUAGAAGUAUCAAAGCUCUGGCGGUACAGGAUGGGCCCGCGUCUGAUUAGCUAGUUGGUAAGGUAACGGCUUACCAAGGCGACGAUCAGUCGCCGACCUGAGAGGGUGAUCGGCCACAGUGGAAAUGAGGCACGGUCCAAACUCCGACGGGAGGCAGCAGUGGGGAAUAGUGCACGAUGGGCGACAGCCUGAGGCAGCAACGCCGCGUGAGCGAUGAAGGGCUUCGGGUCCGAAAGCUCUGUCCUCAAGGAAGAUAAUGACGGUACUUGAGGAGGAAGCCCCGGCUAACUACGUGCCAGCAGCCGCGGUAA